RNAcentral lists this small RNA (144 nucleotides) under Drosophila yakuba. RNAcentral describes it as "GE28974". The record is from RNAcentral. Lineage: Eukaryota; Metazoa; Arthropoda; Insecta; Diptera; Drosophilidae.
UCUAAUUCUGUAUUUUGUACUCUCUCGCAGCGAAUCAAGCAGGAAAAUACCGGAUAAUAAUUGGCAAAGAUGCAGAUCAAAGAAUUCCGUGUUACUUUGCCAUUGACUGUGGAAGAGUAUCAAGUUGCACAAUUAUUCUCGGUG